This 401-nucleotide ribosomal RNA is filed under the name uncultured Proteocatella sp. Its description in RNAcentral is "bacterial SSU rRNA". It matches the Rfam family "Bacterial small subunit ribosomal RNA", at positions 355 to 774 of the family's 1533-position model. The record is from RNAcentral. Lineage: Bacteria; Bacillati; Bacillota; Clostridia; Peptostreptococcales; Filifactoraceae.
UGGGGAAUAUUGCACAAUGGGCGCAAGCCUGAUGCAGCAACGCCGCGUGAGUGAUGAAGGCUUUCGGGUCGUAAAACUCUGUCCUAAGGGAAGAUAAUGACGGUACCUUAGGAGGAAGCCCCGGCUAACUACGUGCCAGCAGCCGCGGUAAUACGUAGGGGGCAAGCGUUAUCCGGAAUUACUGGGCGUAAAGGGUGCGUAGGUGGCCUGAUAAGUCAGGGGUCAAAGGCAACGGCUCAACCGUUGUAAGCCCCUGAAACUAUCGGGCUUGAGUUCAGGAGAGGAAAGCGGAAUUCCAAGUGUAGCGGUGAAAUGCGUAGAUAUUUGGAGGAACACCAGUGGCGAAGGCGGCUUUCUGGACUGAUACUGACACUGAGGCACGAAAGCGUGGGGAGCAAACA